UUUAAAUAAAUAACAAGAAAUAAAGAAAGUAAAACUAAGAAAAUAAUAAUUUAAUAAAAACUCUAAUUCAAGGAGAAAAAAAUAAUAAUGAUAAAUACUUUGGUUAAAGGAUCAUUCACCACCACCAAACAUGCAUAUAAUAUACCAAUUCUAUCAUCAAUUUCUAUUGAAACUAUUAACCGUAGACAACAAUAAGCUUUGUUAGUCUCAAUCUUUCCUUAGUGUGUCGUUAAGUAAAACAAGCUUUUCACCUAAUCUCUAACCAUUAAAUAAUUUAAAACAAGCUCUUUAAAUUUAAGAUAAUGGAAGCAUUAAGCAGAGAAAGAUAUUAGGUUGAUCUAGGUAAUAAACACACAAGCUCAGAUUAUUUAACUUAGGUUAUGUUCUCCAAUCGAAAUCACUAAUUCCAACCUGCUACUAAUGAUUAAAAUAUCAAGACAAUUACGGAUCAAGAAUUUUAAUUUAGCAAUAGAAUUUAUUCAAGUCCUAUCUAAUUGACCACUCAAAUACGACAAGAAUAAAAUCAUAAACAUUAAUUAUAGAUGAAUCUAAACAAUCUCAAUUAAAUAAAUUGAAUGAUAGAAAUUAAAAAUUAAUUGCAUAGCAUGUUUAAGUUUUAAAUUCACUCUCAACCAAAUAAAAAAUCUAGCCUAACAUAAUUGAAUUGGGAAUAAAAGAGUUAAUAAAACCAGACAUAGAGAUUAAUUCAAACAACUGCCUCCUCUAUUUUUUUCAUAAAGGAAAUCUAUUUUUUUCUUCUCCUUUACGAUUGCUCUCUCUUCAAUUCCUCUUGGCUGCUGAUUGUUGAGUAUGUGUGGAUGUCGAUUCCCUCAAUCAAAAGCCAAAAGUUGGAUUUUAUAAUGCCCAAGAUUGGCCGGAUUUUAUUUCCAAUUUAAAGUAAUUAAUUUGCUUCCUUUAAUUGCCAUGCAGAUGCCAUUUCAAUUCUUUUUUUCCAAUGCAUUGUCCACCAAUUGUUUAGGCAAUUCACAUGCAUGAAAUAUAUAUGGCCCUUUCCUUUUUUGUUCAAUUUGCUUCCCAUAUUAACCAAUGAGCUAGCCAACGCCACUUUAAUGCUUGCACAUGUUAUUACCCUUUAAGAUUCUUGAUUCCAAUUAAAUAAAGCCACCAAAUUGAAUUAAAUUCAGUUCCCUCUUUAAUCUCCACGUGAUGGUCAUAAUCUUCUGAAUAUGCAUGAAUUAAUUUUGUUGGCUUCAAUUUUCUUGGUUUCCAAAAUUUUUUAAUUAUUUCCCUUUUCGAUUCUUUCAAGCAGAU
Molecule: long non-coding RNA, 1272 nt
Filed under: Citrus x clementina
Lineage: Eukaryota; Viridiplantae; Streptophyta; Magnoliopsida; Sapindales; Rutaceae
Description: Citrus clementina (C. clementina) long non-coding RNA (CCLE_LNC004201)
Source: RNAcentral